CGUUUCCACCCCAAAUAUAGUUUCAGCACAUUUAACAUGCAGGCACUAAUCAUCUCUAACAUUGUCAUGGUCCAUUUUAGAGUUCACAUUGCUCUGGGCUA
Long non-coding RNA from Salarias fasciatus (jewelled blenny), 101 nucleotides. RefSeq lists it as uncharacterized. The transcript has 4 exons. The record is from RefSeq and is a predicted model, not a curated record. Lineage: Eukaryota; Metazoa; Chordata; Actinopteri; Blenniiformes; Blenniidae.